RNAcentral lists this transfer RNA (69 nucleotides) under Garra poecilura. RNAcentral describes it as "tRNA-Ala". It matches the Rfam family "tRNA". Rfam says of the family: Transfer RNA (tRNA) molecules are approximately 80 nucleotides in length. The record is from RNAcentral. Lineage: Eukaryota; Metazoa; Chordata; Actinopteri; Cypriniformes; Cyprinidae.
AAGGUCUUAAUUUAAUAAAAAUAUCUGAAUUGCACUCAGGUUAUGUAAGUUAGUAUCUUGCAAAUCUUA